UACGAAGGGGGCUAGCGUUGCUCGGAAUCACUGGGCGUAAAGGGUGCGUAGGCGGGUCUUUAAGUCAGGGGUGAAAUCCUGGAGCUCAACUCCAGAACUGCCUUUGAUACUGAAGAUCUUGAGUUCGGGAGAGGUGAGUGGAACUGCGAGUGUAGAGGUGAAAUUCGUAGAUAUCGGGAGGAACACCGGUGGCGAAGGCGGCGAUCUGGGUAGAUACUGACGCUGAGGUGCGAAAGCGUGGGGAGCAAACAGG
RNAcentral lists this ribosomal RNA (253 nucleotides) under uncultured bacterium. Its description in RNAcentral is "partial 16S ribosomal RNA". It matches the Rfam family "Bacterial small subunit ribosomal RNA", at positions 524 to 776 of the family's 1533-position model. The record is from RNAcentral.